This 96-nucleotide transfer RNA is filed under the name compost metagenome. RNAcentral's name for it is "tRNA-Ala". The record is from RNAcentral.
GCGGCCUGCAGCUUGGGCAGGGGAGCCUGGUCCUUCGCGUGCACCACGGUGACGGUGUGCUUGGCGAGGUCGGCGUUCACCUUGCCGACGCCGGGC